AUGGACGCAGUCUGAUGGAGCACGCCGCGUGAGUGAAGAAGGGUUUCGGCUCGUAAAGCUCUGUUGGUAGUGAAGAAAGAUAGAGGUAGUAACUGGCCUUUAUUUGACGGUAAUUACUUAGAAAGUCACGGCUAACUACGUGCCAGCAGCCGCGGUAAUACGUAGGAGGCAAGCGUUGUCCGGAUUUAUUGGGCGUAAAGCGAGUGCAGGCGGUUCAAUAAGUCUGAUGUGAAAGCCUUCGGCUCAACCGGAGAAUUGCAUCAGAAACUGUUGAACUUGAGUGCAGAAGAGGGGAGUGGAACUCCAUGUGUAGCGGUGGAAUGCGUAGAUAUAUGGAAGAACACCAGUGGCGAAGGCGGCUCUCUGGUCUGCAACUGACGCUGAGGCUCGAAAGCAUGGGUAGCGAACAGGAUUAGAUACCCUGGUAGUCCAUGCCGUAACGAUGAGUGCUAAGUGUUGGGAGGUUUCCGCCUCUCAGUGCUGCAGCUAACGCAUUAAGCACUCCGCCUGGGGAGUACGACCGCAAGGUUGAAACUCAAAGGAAUUGACGGGGGCCCGCACAAGCGGUGGAGCAUGUGGUUUAAUUCGAAGCA
Molecule: ribosomal RNA, 593 nt
Filed under: Lactobacillus gasseri
Lineage: Bacteria; Bacillati; Bacillota; Bacilli; Lactobacillales; Lactobacillaceae
Description: bacterial SSU rRNA
Rfam family: Bacterial small subunit ribosomal RNA
Source: RNAcentral